Molecule: transfer RNA, 90 nt
Filed under: Candidatus Colwellbacteria bacterium RIFCSPHIGHO2_02_FULL_43_15
Lineage: Bacteria; Candidatus Colwelliibacteriota
Also listed under: 1 other name
Description: tRNA-Ser
Rfam family: tRNA
About the family: Transfer RNA (tRNA) molecules are approximately 80 nucleotides in length. Their secondary structure includes four short double-helical elements and three loops (D, anti-codon, and T loops).
Source: RNAcentral
GGAGGGUUCGCAUAGUGGUCUAGUGCACCAUCUUGGAAAGAUGGCAUACCUUUACCGGUAUCGAGAGUUCGAAUCUCUCACCCUCCGCCA